GGCUGGUCGGCAUGCACUGCUGUUUAUAACUAAUUGAUCACAACCAGUUACAUGUUUGUUUCUUGUCUACUCCCUUGACUAGCCUUAA
This 88-nucleotide small RNA is filed under the name Aotus nancymaae (Ma's night monkey). RNAcentral describes it as "Y RNA (ENSANAG00000011214.1)". Lineage: Eukaryota; Metazoa; Chordata; Mammalia; Primates; Aotidae. The record is from RNAcentral.